Molecule: transfer RNA, 83 nt
Filed under: Clostridiales bacterium
Lineage: Bacteria; Bacillati; Bacillota; Clostridia; Eubacteriales
Description: tRNA-Leu
Rfam family: tRNA
About the family: Transfer RNA (tRNA) molecules are approximately 80 nucleotides in length. Their secondary structure includes four short double-helical elements and three loops (D, anti-codon, and T loops).
Source: RNAcentral
GCAGUUGUGGCGGAACUGGCAUACGCGCUAGACUAAGGAUCUAGUGGUCCCAGACCUUGGGGGUUCGAGUCCCCCCAACUGCA